CGGAGGGUGCAAGCGUUAUCCGGAUUCACUGGGUUUAAAGGGUGCGUAGGUGGUUUUGUAAGUCAGUGGUGAAAGCCCGGAGCUCAACUCCGGAACUGCCAUUGAUACUGCUUAACUUGAAUCAAGUAGAGGUGGAUGGAAUAUUACAUGUAGCGGUGAAAUGCUUAGAUAUGUAAUAGAACACCGAUUGCGAAGGCAGUUCACUAUGCUUGUAUUGACACUGAGGCACGAAAGCGUGGGGAUCAAACAGGAUUAGAUACCCUGGUAGUCCACGCCCUAAACUAUGUAAACUCGACAUUAGCGAAAUACAGUUAGUGUCUAAGCGAAAGCGGUAAGUUUACCACCUGGGAAGUACGACCGCAAGGUUG
This 368-nucleotide ribosomal RNA is filed under the name uncultured organism. Its description in RNAcentral is "bacterial SSU rRNA". It matches the Rfam family "Bacterial small subunit ribosomal RNA", at positions 526 to 896 of the family's 1533-position model. The record is from RNAcentral.